GGGGAUUCCCAAAGGCAGCACCAAGAAGUCCAGGGGAACCUCUCUGGUGUCCACGGAGCCAAGGCCUUGGAAAGAGUCCGGCUGGGACCGCCGCCGCCAGUCGUACCAAAUGGCCACUGUGCCAUUAUUGACCACGGUCAGCUCCGAAGAUGUCUUCUCUCCUUCUAGAGUUUCGAAGGUCAAGCGGACAGCAAUUCCAACAUGCUUCUAGGGAAGGAGGAGAACAUUUGCUUCCUCCUGUCUGUCACCUCGGCUGGAUCUACAGCUUCCCAAGGGAUUACGCAUCUCCAGAUGUGUGCUUUUCACUGGAAGGAGGUUUGGUCCACGAGGGUGCGUUGGUAAAAGCAGCAUUUCAGAGUGAUUCAUCCAAUGAGGGUCGGAGAUGUCCUUGGUGACAUUCCGAAUGCUUGCUCUUUCCAGACUGUACAGACACCCCGCAGAGAAGGCUAUGCGCUUUACAUUGAACUGUGCUUUUAACUUUUCUGUAGCCUUGGAAUCUUUCAAAAUGGAAUGUACAGUGGGGGAAGGAAUCUCAGCCCUGGACCAAGGCUCGGCCCCCCCAAAGCAGGAUUCUACCCUCCAGGGAAGAAGGCUGGACAAAGAAGACCAAGGUCAAGGCGGGCUCACUGAGUUUGUUAGGCUGUUUAAAUAAAAGCAGGCAAAUGUUUCUGUAGGUAAAAGGCCAGGGGAA
Molecule: long non-coding RNA, 691 nt
Organism: Mustela erminea (ermine)
Lineage: Eukaryota; Metazoa; Chordata; Mammalia; Carnivora; Mustelidae
Exons: 5
Source: RefSeq, a predicted model, not a curated record